This 496-nucleotide ribosomal RNA is filed under the name uncultured bacterium. RNAcentral's name for it is "bacterial SSU rRNA". It matches the Rfam family "Bacterial small subunit ribosomal RNA", at positions 1 to 507 of the family's 1533-position model. The record is from RNAcentral.
CUGUAGACACGAGUUUGAUCAUGGCUCAGGACGAACGCUGGCGGCGCGCCUAACACAUGCAAGUCGAACGAGCAAAGAGGAGCUUGCUUCUCUGAGCGAGUGGCGAACGGGUGAGUAACGCGUGAGGAACCUGCCUCAAAGAGGGGGGACAACAGUUGGAAACGACUGCUAAUACCGCAUAAGCCCACGGGUCGGCAUCGACCAGAGGGAAAAGGAGCAAUCCGCUUUGAGAUGGCCUCGCGUCCGAUUAGCUGGUUGGUGAGGUAACGGCCCACCAAGGCGACGAUCGGUAGCCGGACUGAGAGGUUGAACGGCCACAUUGGGACUGAGACACGGCCCAGACUCCUACGGGAGGCAGCAGUGGGGAAUAUUGCACAAUGGGGGAAACCCUGAUGCAGCGACGCCGCGUGGAGGAAGAAGGUCUUCGGAUUGUAAACUCCUGUUGUUGAGGAAGAUAAUGACGGUACUCAACAAGGAAGUGACGGCUAACUACGUG